GAUGAACGCUGGCGGCGUGCCUAAUACAUGCAAGUCGAGCGAACAGAUGAGGAGCUUUCUCCUCUGACGUUAGCGGCGGACGGGGGAGUAACACGUGGAUAACCUACCUAUAAGACUGGGAUAACUUCGGGAAACCGGAGCUAAUACCGGAUAAUAUAUUGAACCGCAUGGUUCAAUAGUGAAAGACGGUUUUGCUGUCACUUAUAGAUGGAUCCCCGCCGCAUUAGCUAGUUGGUAAGGUAACGGCUUACCAAGGCCACGAUGCGUAGCCGACCUGAGAGGGGGGUCGGCGACACUGGAAAUGAGACACGGUCCAGAAUCCUACGGGAGGAAGCAGUAGGGAAUCUUCCGCAAUGGGCGAAAGCCUGACGGAGCAACCCGGCGGGAGUGAUAAAGGUCUUCGGAUCGUAAAACUCUGUUAUUAGGGAAGAACAAAUGUGAAAGUAACUAUGCACAUCUUGACGGUACCUAAUCAGAAAGCCACGGCUAACUACGUG
RNAcentral lists this ribosomal RNA (497 nucleotides) under uncultured bacterium. Its description in RNAcentral is "partial 16S ribosomal RNA". It matches the Rfam family "Bacterial small subunit ribosomal RNA", at positions 28 to 507 of the family's 1533-position model. The record is from RNAcentral.